CGGGGGGGGGGCAAGCGUUGUUCGGAAUUACUGGGGCGUAAAGGGCGCGCAGGCGGCCUGGCAAGUCCUACGUGAAAUCCCACAGCUCAACUGUGGAACUGCGUGGGAUACUGCCAGGCUUGAGUCCGGGAGAGGAGAGUGGAAUUCCCAGUGUAGCGGUGAAAUGCGUAGAUAUUGGGAGGAACACCGGUGGCGAAGGCGGCUCUCUGGACCGGUACUGACGCUGAGGCGCGAAAGCUAGGGGAGCAAACGGGAUUAGAUACCCCGGUAGUCCUAGCCGUAAACUUUGAGCACUUUGUGUGGCGGGUAUCGACCCCUGCCGUGCAGAAGCUAACGCAUUAAGUGCUCCGCCUGGGGAGUACGGUCGCAAAGGCUG
Molecule: ribosomal RNA, 376 nt
Filed under: uncultured organism
Description: partial 16S ribosomal RNA
Rfam family: Bacterial small subunit ribosomal RNA
Source: RNAcentral